Molecule: ribosomal RNA, 627 nt
Filed under: uncultured Gammaproteobacteria bacterium
Lineage: Bacteria; Pseudomonadati; Pseudomonadota; Gammaproteobacteria
Description: partial 16S ribosomal RNA
Rfam family: Bacterial small subunit ribosomal RNA
Source: RNAcentral
CGUCGCAUGUUCCCGGGCGCAUGGCGGCCGCGGGAAUUCGAUUAGAGUUUGAUCAUGGCUCAGAUUGAACGCUGGCGGCAGGCCUAACACAUGCAAGUCGAGCGGUAGAGAGAAGCUUGCUUCUCUUGAGAGCGGCGGACGGGUGAGUAAUGCCUAGGAAUCUGCCUGGUAGUGGGGGAUAACGUUCGGAAACGGACGCUAAUACCGCAUACGUCCUACGGGAGAAAGCAGGGGACCUUCGGGCCUUGCGCUAUCAGAUGAGCCUAGGUCGGAUUAGCUAGUUGGUGGGGUAAUGGCUCACCAAGGCGACGAUCCGUAACUGGUCUGAGAGGAUGAUCAGUCACACUGGAACUGAGACACGGUCCAGACUCCUACGGGAGGCAGCAGUGGGGAAUAUUGGACAAUGGGCGAAAGCCUGAUCCAGCCAUGCCGCGUGUGUGAAGAAGGUCUUCGGAUUGUAAAGCACUUUAAGUUGGGAGGAAGGGCAGUAAAUUAAUACUUUGCUGUUUUGACGUUACCGACAGAAUAAGCACCGGCUAACUCUGUGCCAGCAGCCGCGGUAAUACGAAUCACUAGUGAAUUCGCGGCCGCCUGCAGGUCGACCAUAUGGGAGAGCUCCCAACGCGU